GACGAACGCUGGCGGCGUGCCUAAUACAUGCAAGUCGAGCGCGAAAGUUCUUCGGAAUGAGUAAAGCGGCGGACGGGUGAGUAAUACAUGGGAAUCUGCCUGGUAGUGGGGGACAACGUUUCGAAAGGAACGCUAAUACCGCAUACGCCCUACGGGGAAAGGGGGGAGUCGCAAGACCUCUCGCUAUCAGAUGAGCCCAU
RNAcentral lists this ribosomal RNA (200 nucleotides) under uncultured bacterium. RNAcentral's name for it is "partial 16S ribosomal RNA". It matches the Rfam family "Bacterial small subunit ribosomal RNA", at positions 28 to 234 of the family's 1533-position model. The record is from RNAcentral.